Molecule: ribosomal RNA, 281 nt
Filed under: uncultured bacterium
Lineage: Bacteria
Description: partial 16S ribosomal RNA
Rfam family: Bacterial small subunit ribosomal RNA
Source: RNAcentral
GAUGAACGCUAGCGGCAGGCUUAACACAUGCAAGUCGAGGGGUAUGCUUCUUCGGAAGCAGAGACCGGCGCACGGGUGCGUAACGCGUAUGCAAUCUACCUUUUACAGAGGGAUAGCCCAGAGAAAUUUGGAUUAAUACCUCAUAGUAUUAUAGAAUGGCAUCAUUUUAUAAUUAAAGUCACAACGGUAAAAGAUGAGCAUGCGUCCCAUUAGCUAGUUGGAAGGUAACGGCUUACCAAGGCUACGAUGGGUAGGGGUCCUGAGAGGGAGAUCCCCCACAC